UUCGCCCUUUUCCGGUUGAUCCUGCCGGACCCCACUGCUAUCGGGAUAGGACUAAGACAUGCUAGUCAUGCGCUUUCAGGCUAAUGUGAAAGUGCGGCAUACAGCUCAGUAACACGUGGCUAACCUGCCCUUGGGACGGGAAUACCCCCGGGAAACUGGGACUAAUUCCCGAUAGGUGAAAAAUUCUGGAAUGAAUUUUCGCCUAAAGACGUUUAUGUCAUGCUCAUAGGCGUUGCCCAGGGAUGGGGCCGCGACCGAUCAGGUAGUUGGUGAGGUAAUGGCUCACCAAGCCUUUUACCGGUACGGGCCGUGAGAGCGGGAGCCCGGAGAUGGGCACUGAGACAAGGGCCCAGGCCCUACGGGGCGCAGCAGUCGCGAAAACUUUGCAAUACACGAAAGUGUGACAAGGCUAUCCCGAGUGCCAUCCGCUGAGGAAGGCUUUUACCCAGUAUAAACAGCUGGGAGAAUAAGGAGAGGGCAAGUCUGGUGUCAGCCGCCGCGGUAAUACCAGCUCUCCGAGUAGUGUGGAUGUUUAUUGGGCCUAAAGCAUCCGUAGCUUGCUAUACAAGUCCCCUGUUAAAUCCACCGAUUUAAUCGUUGGAUUGCGGGGGAUACUGUUUGGCUAGGGGACGGGAGAGGCCGACGG
RNAcentral lists this ribosomal RNA (646 nucleotides) under uncultured archaeon. Its description in RNAcentral is "bacterial SSU rRNA". It matches the Rfam family "Archaeal small subunit ribosomal RNA", at positions 1 to 615 of the family's 1478-position model. The record is from RNAcentral.